Molecule: transfer RNA, 95 nt
Filed under: Anopheles christyi
Lineage: Eukaryota; Metazoa; Arthropoda; Insecta; Diptera; Culicidae
Description: tRNA tRNA-Tyr
Rfam family: tRNA
About the family: Transfer RNA (tRNA) molecules are approximately 80 nucleotides in length. Their secondary structure includes four short double-helical elements and three loops (D, anti-codon, and T loops). Further hydrogen bonds mediate the characteristic L-shaped molecular structure. tRNAs have two regions of fundamental functional importance: the anti-codon, which is responsible for specific mRNA codon recognition, and the 3' end, to which the tRNAs corresponding amino acid is attached (by aminoacyl-tRNA synthetases). tRNAs cope with the degeneracy of the genetic code in two manners: having more than one tRNA (with a specific anti-codon) for a particular amino acid; and 'wobble' base-pairing, i.e. permitting non-standard base-pairing at the 3rd anti-codon position.
Source: RNAcentral
CCUUCGAUAGCUCAGUUGGUAGAGCGGUGGACUGUAGAGAGCGAACAGUAACGAUAGUAAUCCAUAGGUCGCUGGUUCAAAUCCGGCUCGAAGGA